Molecule: ribosomal RNA, 498 nt
Filed under: uncultured bacterium
Lineage: Bacteria
Description: partial 16S ribosomal RNA
Rfam family: Bacterial small subunit ribosomal RNA
Source: RNAcentral
AUUGAACGCUGGCGGCAUGCUUUACACAUGCAAGUCGAACGGUAACAGGCCGCAAGGUGCUGACGAGUGGCGAACGGGUGAGUAAUGCAUCGGAACGUGCCCAGUCGUGGGGGAUAACGCAGCGAAAGCUGUGCUAAUACCGCAUACGAUCUAUGGAUGAAAGCGGGGGACCGUAAGGCCUCGCGCGAUUGGAGCGGCCGAUGUCAGAUGAGGUAGUUGGCGGGGUAAAGGCUCACCAAGCCAACGAUGUGUAGCUGGUCUGAGAGGACGACCAGCCACACUGGGACUGAGGCACGGCCCAGACUCCUACGGGAGGCAGCAGUGGGGAAUUUUGGACAAUGGGCGCAAGCCUGAUCCAGCAACGCCGCGUGCAGGAAGAAGGCCUUCGGGUUGUAAACUGCUUUUGUACGGAACGAAAAGGUUUGGGUUAAUACCCUGGGCCGAUGACGGUACCGUAAGAAUAAGCACCGGCUAACUACGUGCCAGCAGCCGCCGCCG